CCUACGGGGGGCUGCAGUGGGGAAUAUUGGACAAUGGGGGCAACCCUGAUCCAGCCAUGCCGCGUGUGUGAAGAAGGCCCUCGGGUUGUAAAGCACUUUCAGUGAGGAAGAACGCCUGGUGGUUAAUACCCAUCAGGAAAGACAUCACUCACAGAAGAAGCACCGGCUAACUCCGUGCCAGCAGCCGCGGUAAUACGGAGGGUGCGAGCGUUAAUCGGAAUUACUGGGCGUAAAGCGCGCGUAGGUGGCUUGAUAAGCCGGUUGUGAAAGCCCCGGGCUCAACCUGGGAACGGCAUCCGGAACUGUCAAGCUAGAGUGCAGGAGACGAAGGUAGAAUUCCCGGUGUAGCGGUGAAAUGCGUAGAGAUCGGGAGGAAUACCAGUGGCGAAGGCGGCCUUCUGGACUGACACUGACACUGGGGUGCGAAAGCGUGGGUAGCAAACAGGAUUAGAUACCCGGGUAGUC
Molecule: ribosomal RNA, 465 nt
Filed under: Vreelandella stevensii
Lineage: Bacteria; Pseudomonadati; Pseudomonadota; Gammaproteobacteria; Oceanospirillales; Halomonadaceae
Description: partial 16S ribosomal RNA
Rfam family: Bacterial small subunit ribosomal RNA
Source: RNAcentral